CCUUUGACGUUAGCGGCGGACGGGUGAGUAACACGUGGGUAACCUACCUAUAAGACUGGGAUAACUUCGGGAAACCGGAGCUAAUACCGGAUAAUAUUUCGAACCGCAUGGUUCGAUAGUGAAAGAUGGUUUUGCUAUCACUUAUAGAUGGACCUGCGCCGUAUUAGCUAGUUGGUAAGGUAACGGCUUACCAAGGCGACGAUACGUAGCCGACCUGAGAGGGUGAUCGGCCACACUGUAACUGAGACACGGUCCGGACUCCUACGGGAGGCAGCAGGC
This 279-nucleotide ribosomal RNA is filed under the name uncultured Staphylococcus sp. Its description in RNAcentral is "partial 16S ribosomal RNA". It matches the Rfam family "Bacterial small subunit ribosomal RNA", at positions 83 to 354 of the family's 1533-position model. The record is from RNAcentral. Lineage: Bacteria; Bacillati; Bacillota; Bacilli; Caryophanales; Staphylococcaceae.